Molecule: small nucleolar RNA, 136 nt
Organism: Molossus molossus (Pallas's mastiff bat)
Lineage: Eukaryota; Metazoa; Chordata; Mammalia; Chiroptera; Molossidae
Product: small nucleolar RNA SNORA43
Exons: 1
Source: RefSeq, a predicted model, not a curated record
AAGGUGCUGGACCUGCCGGCACCGCGGACGCAGCUGCUGUGCUGCGCCUGUGGCAUCGGGGCAAAGAGGAAGCGGCUAUUUCUACGCUCAGUGCUCAGAACAGUGGGCACUAAGAAUGGUUUGUGGCCUGACAUCC